UUGGCAGUCGUCUGAAGCAGGGACUAUUAAAAAGUGUUACCGUAGUAAGGUCUUCCACCCAAGUGAGUAACCUGUUUGUCGGCAGCCUCACAAAAUAUAUCUCGCUACUUAAUCAUUACUGACAUUUGGAAGCAACAAGGCUUUAAUUAAUAGUUAUAUUGAUGAUGCAUAAAUCUCAAAAAUUAGUUUUGCUUUCCACUUAAUUAGCUACAUAAAACUAAUAAUUAGGGACAACAGAGAUACAUGCCCCUAAAUUACAGAAGAGGAAGAAAGCACCACAGUCCUCUUUCAGAAAAUAAACUACUGUGUUAAAACAAGUUAGUAAGCUCUGUAGGCAAUGUAAAUACUAACUUGGUCUGCGGUGGUAUCCAUCCCUCUUAAACGUUCUUCAGUGUUCCUUGGACUAUGAAACUGACAAGCUGACCGUUCAAAGCAAAGGUCCCGACUUUCAAGGAGUCUAGAAAGCUGCCCAGUGAGUUUGCCUCGUAAUCUCCUAGAACAAGUGCUGGAAGUCCUAAUCGUCGGGAAUUUUGCUUGAAUAAGGAAUAUAGCUUCCAAGGAGAGUCCACAGCCAAUUGCAAGGCUGGAGGGAAGAUUCAGAGCUUGGUGAGGCUGGUUAAAGGAAUUUCUUAAAGACUGAAGUGACAAUAUGCAACCUGCAAACCUAAAGCUUUGCAGGUGUUUUCGUUAUUUCUUUAUGUUGAGUAGAGUUAGCCCACAAAGAUGUCAUGUGCUGCCAGUGAAUGUAGAACCUAUUGGUUUGAGAGGAAGCAGUACACUUGCCCUGAGAGUCAUUUGACAGAGAGUGGUGUCAGUGCAGUAAUUACAAGGGCUGUCCCUGGUACCUCUGCUGCUUAUGCAGGCAGUACCUUUGAACUGCUUCACUGAAGGAGAAAUAAACCACCCUCAUUCCAAGCAAUUGGUCACUGUUGUUCAAAAUAAAACUUUUAAACUCUUUAAUAGGAAAAAAGCUUUUUUUAAAAAAAUAUAUAAAAUGGUAUAGUAUUUUUUCCAUUUACCGUUUGUAAGACAAUGCUCUGAAGAAAAACCUGUUGCUGCCCUUUUUAUAUGUGACUAUUCUCUGUGGAAGCAAACUAGUACAUCUGGUGCAUGUCUCCUUUGAAAGUUACACUGGAUAACCUGACAAAUAAGUUUGUUUAGUGCCCAGAUGGCCUGUCUACGUGAGCAUCGAAUUUGCUGAAUUGUGAAACUUGUGGACCUGCUGCCUGGUAAGUCUGGCACAUCCAGUGAGUCAGCCCAACGCUCCGUGCAUGCACGUGGAGUACAGCAUGGCUAGAACGUACCUAACUUGUGCAUAGCAGAGCACAGCACACGGACCACAGGACUGGGUCUGCGUACGCACAGCACUGCUGACCCAAAUACCUUGAAUCUGAAGGUUCCUGCUUUCAGUGGGGAAGCUCUUGUUUCUGCUGAAGCAUAAUUUCCACUUAGAAAAAGAGGACAUCUCCAGAGGAACUCCAGAUGUGUAAUACUCGUAAUGCAGCAAAUCAAAUGAACAAAUGCUGAAUUUCUUUAAGAAGUUCUAUAAGAAGUUCCAAUAGGAUUAUUAUAGCAAAAUAUGCAUGAUCAACAAAAUAAAAGUGCAACGCUGGGAAGAAAUCACGCUGUUGUAAUUAGUGAAUAUCCAAUUCCAGAAAAAUUGCAUUUAUUUGUUGCAAUUCACAAAGAGACUUUUCAAACUCAUUUAUAAUGUUUGCAUGAUAUAUUUUUAUGGUGAAACUUCCACCGUAGCAUUUUUUCAUAUAUAUUAGACGAUUAGGUUUAUUUUUGCAUUUUUCUGAACUUAUUUUUAAUUAUCUGUGGGUUUUUUAUUUUUUUUUCUAAUAUUUGUAGACAUUUGAGUAAGUCGAUCAGAGUGGGUGUUGCAUAUCUGUAAAAAUAUAUCUGGUGUUGACUAGUGUUGGUGUGAAAAAGAUACCUAAAAGAAUUCUCCACUUGAUCUGAGAGGCAUACUUUAGUUCUGUGCUUUAGCCCCAAUGGAUGUAAAAAUAGUUUUUCUUCUCUUUUAAAUCUUUCUUACCAGGACUGCUGUUUCGAUAAUAGGUUUGCAAGGUACAGGACAGAAUGCGAUCUCCUUCGAACGACUAGAAUUGUGUGGAGGCUUGUACGAAAUAACGUGCAGAUCAAGGCUUUAGAGAGGGGCAAAAUCACAAGACCUGCUGAUAUCAACAGAAACUAAGAAUUAAACUCUAGGUCCUCACUAGCUUCUGGAUGGUUAUAAUCAGGACAGUAACACCAAUAGAGAGGGUAAUGCUGCAGGUGAGGUGUAACUAGAUGAAAGAGCAUGUGAUGAGAGAUAAAUGGAGAAGAGAAGACAGAAAAGCUGGAAGAAAACUGAAGAAGGGAGGCUGAGAUACGGGAAGAGGUUAGUGACCAGACAGCUUUCCAGAACAAGCCUUUGUUUGAUCACUGAGAGUAAGUACUGCUGUCAGAAAUGCUGUUUCAAAUGGGGAGGUGACAGGAGCUGAGAAAGCUCAACUAACUGAUCUGACAUGAAAAAAAGGAGGGUGUGUUUGGAAGAAGUAAACUAACA
This is a long non-coding RNA of Oxyura jamaicensis (ruddy duck), 2554 nucleotides long. RefSeq lists it as uncharacterized. NCBI's taxonomy places the organism in Eukaryota, Metazoa, Chordata, Aves, Anseriformes, Anatidae. The transcript is spliced from 3 exons. The record is from RefSeq and is a predicted model, not a curated record.